AAACGUGUUGUCCCAGGAUGUCAUCGAAUCCACACACGGCCAACGAUCUGAACUGAAGAGCUGUAGACCAAAUGAUGACUACGCUGAAUAGCACGUGCCUCACCAUGCUGGCUUGUAUUUGCUUCCUGCCAUGGUGUUACACAAGGACGCAUAGUCCUCACACCGAGAAGGUUGUUUGCCAAGCUGAGAGCACUCUACGACUGCACUAAGCUGGCACUUUUCGAAGCCGAUCACAACAACACC
This is a long non-coding RNA of Rhipicephalus sanguineus (brown dog tick), 243 nucleotides long. RefSeq lists it as uncharacterized. The record is from RefSeq and is a predicted model, not a curated record. Lineage: Eukaryota; Metazoa; Arthropoda; Arachnida; Ixodida; Ixodidae. The transcript is spliced from 3 exons.